Molecule: ribosomal RNA, 200 nt
Filed under: uncultured bacterium
Lineage: Bacteria
Description: partial 16S ribosomal RNA
Rfam family: Bacterial small subunit ribosomal RNA
Source: RNAcentral
UACGGAGGGUGCAAGCGUUAUCCGGAAUCAUUGGGUUUAAAGGGUCCGCAGGCGGACAUAUAAGUCAGUGGUGAAAGCCCAUCGCUUAACGAUGGAACUGCCAUUGAUACUGUAUGUCUUGAAUUCGGUCGAAGUGGGCGGAAUAUGUCAUGUAGCGGUGAAAUGCUUAGAUAUGACAUAGAACACCGAUAGCGAAGGCA